UCAUCUCAAUCCAUCAGCUUUUUCUUAAGGCUGCUUGGUUUGGAUUUGGGAGCUUGCUGGCCCGUCAAGGGUCCGCUCUCCUUGAAUGCAUGAGUGAGUGUCUGGCUCGCGUUGCUAGUGUGAUAGUCUUUCAUCAUUAGCGGCGCUUGCCUAAAGGGCUUGCUUUCGAACCGUCUUCUCAACGGAGACACUAAUUUGACCA
RNAcentral lists this unclassified non-coding RNA (202 nucleotides) under uncultured Tomentella. Its description in RNAcentral is "sequence contains ITS2". The record is from RNAcentral. Lineage: Eukaryota; Fungi; Basidiomycota; Agaricomycetes; Thelephorales; Thelephoraceae.